CCAAGAACUACCCAAAUGCAAAUCCAAAUAGGUAACCAGAAAUUCAAGAUAACAAGCAUCUAUGAUUUUGCUAAGGUCAUCAAGAUGGACACAUGCCUAUGAUAUAUUGUAUUAAAAGUGUGUAGGUAACAAGGAUAGUCCCAAAGUUAUACUUGCCAUGAUCAAAGCUUUUCUGUUGUUUCUGCUGGUCGUCAAAAGAUUGGCCUUGAUCACCAUCGUAAUGUUCACCGUCUAAACUCGAUCAUCGAUCAUCAACACAC
RNAcentral lists this long non-coding RNA (260 nucleotides) under Sorghum bicolor (sorghum). RNAcentral's name for it is "long non-coding RNA (SBIC_LNC014579)". The record is from RNAcentral. Lineage: Eukaryota; Viridiplantae; Streptophyta; Magnoliopsida; Poales; Poaceae.